CUACGGGGCGCUCCAGUAGGGAAUAUUGGGCAAUGGGGGAAACCCUGACCCAGCAACGCCGCGUGAGGGAAGAAGGUUUUCGGAUUGUAAACCUCUGUCCUUGGGGAAGAAAAAAAUGACGGUACCCAAGGAGGAAGCUCCGGCUAACUACGUGCCAGCAGCCGCGGUAAUACGUAGGGAGCAAGCGUUGUCCGGAAUUACUGGGCGUAAAGGGUGUGUAGGCGGCAUGUUAAGUCAGAUGUGAAAUGUAGGGGCUCAACCCCUGAACUGCAUUUGAAACUGGCAAGCUUGAGUGCGGAGAGGUAAGUGGAAUUCCUAGUGUAGCGGUGGAAUGCGUAGAUAUUAGGAGGAACACCAGUGGCGAGGGCGACUUACUGGCUCGUAACUGACGCUGAGACACGAAAGCGUGGGGAGCAAACAGGAUUAGAUACCCGCGUAGUC
RNAcentral lists this ribosomal RNA (441 nucleotides) under uncultured bacterium. RNAcentral describes it as "partial 16S ribosomal RNA". It matches the Rfam family "Bacterial small subunit ribosomal RNA", at positions 339 to 795 of the family's 1533-position model. The record is from RNAcentral.